This 119-nucleotide ribosomal RNA is filed under the name Escherichia coli. RNAcentral describes it as "partial 16S ribosomal RNA". It matches the Rfam family "Bacterial small subunit ribosomal RNA", at positions 1 to 110 of the family's 1533-position model. The record is from RNAcentral. Lineage: Bacteria; Pseudomonadati; Pseudomonadota; Gammaproteobacteria; Enterobacterales; Enterobacteriaceae.
UUAAAUUGAAGAGUUUGAUCAUGGCUCAGAUUGAACGCUGGCGGCAGGCCUAACACAUGCAAGUCGAACGGUAACAGGAAUCAGCUUGCUGAUUCGCUGACGAGUGGCGGACGGGUGAG